Molecule: ribosomal RNA, 875 nt
Filed under: Sulcospira tourannensis
Lineage: Eukaryota; Metazoa; Mollusca; Gastropoda; Pachychilidae
Description: partial 16S ribosomal RNA
Rfam family: Bacterial large subunit ribosomal RNA
Source: RNAcentral
UAAGGUAAAUUAAUAAGAAGUGUAACUUAAUAAUUUGUUUUAUAUUUUAGUUCAUUAAGGAUAAGCUUAAUAAAAGGUACAGGAAAGAAUAUCCACUUUAAAUUGGCUACUUAGGCUUGAAAUUAGCCAUCAUAGCAGAACUUGUUAUAGGGCAGUCCUUUUGAAAAAGAAAAUUUUUAUAUUUUUCUUUCUGUAUUACAAUAAGGGUAAUGGAUUAAAUUAAUAAGUCCAAUUUAUUUAUGCUAAAAUGAGUAUUAUAAACUAACAUACGUGGUGAAUAAAUAUUGAAAAUAUUCAUAGCAACAUGUAAUUUUAAAAUUAAAGUGAAAGGAAGGAACUCGGCAAAUUUUAGCUUCGCCUGUUUAUCAAAAACAUGGCUCUUUGUUAUUUUAAUAUAGGGAGUCAAACCUGCCCAGUGAAAUUUUUCAACGGCCGCGGUACCCUGACCGUGCAAAGGUAGCGUAAUCAUUUGCCUUAUAAUUGAAGGCUUGCAUGAAUGGUUUAACGAGAGCACUGCUGUCUCCCGCUCAAUAAAUAGAACUUGACUUUUAGGUGAAGAGGCCUAAAUAUAAUUGAAAGACAAAAAGACCCUGUCGAGCUUGAAAGCUAAGUUAGGGACGAAUAUAAAAUAUUUUAAAUUUAUUACUAACUAUGCUUUUUGGUUGGGGCGACCAAGGAACAAUAGAAGCUUCUUUUAUUUGUGUUAACUUAUAAGUAAGGAUCCAGCCUAAAGCUGAUUAAAAGAAUUAGUUACCGCAGGGAUAACAGCAUAAUCUCUCUUGAGAGACCAAAUCGAAAGAGGGGGUUGUGACCUCGAUGUUGGACUAGAAUAUCCUAAAGAUGCAGAAGUCUUUGAGGGUUGGUCCGUUCGACCA